RNAcentral lists this long non-coding RNA (451 nucleotides) under Helianthus annuus (common sunflower). Lineage: Eukaryota; Viridiplantae; Streptophyta; Magnoliopsida; Asterales; Asteraceae. The record is from RNAcentral.
AUGUUUCUUCCAUUCUUCGUUCAAUCACCACUUAAAGGUUUCUUAGUCUGAAACUCCAUUUUGAAGGCUUGCAUCUCAUUUGUCAGUUGUGGCUCCAGUUUUACUUGUCCAACACCAGUUUGAAUGGCAGACGAAUUUUGAGGCGGGGCAUUUGCGUGAUGGAGGAGGGAAUUUCCAAGCAUGUUGAUGUGUGGUGAGCCUUGACCACCCAAUAAAGAAGAAGAAGCUAAGUUUGAGCGUGCCCCUAGAGGUACCAUCUUCCAUUCUUCUGUCCAAAUCACCUCCCCUCCUCUGCAUAAUAAUAAUAAUUUGGGCAACAAACAACAACAAAUAUUCCUACCCAUGAGAACCUGCAAAUGAUGAUGAUAAUAUGAACAAUCCUCCCCCAACUCCAGAACACCAUCAGGCGUCAGACGAUGAUGAAAGUGAAGAUACUCCGGCUGUCGUGGCG